This 240-nucleotide ribosomal RNA is filed under the name uncultured bacterium. RNAcentral's name for it is "partial 16S ribosomal RNA". It matches the Rfam family "Bacterial small subunit ribosomal RNA", at positions 15 to 240 of the family's 1533-position model. The record is from RNAcentral.
GAUCCUGGCUCAGGAUGAACGCUGGCGGCGUGCUUAACACAUGCAAGUCGAACGAGGAAUUUUAAAUGAGGCUUCGGUGGAUUUUGAAAUUCUUAGUGGCGGACGGGUGAGUAACGCGUGGGCAAUCUGCCCUGUACAGGGGGACAACAGCUGGAAACGGCUGCUAAUACCGCAUAAGCGCACAGCAUCGCAUGGUGCCGUGUGAAAAACUCCGGUGGUACAGGAUGGGCCCGCGUUGGA